Tachyglossus aculeatus (Australian echidna) is the source of this 137-nucleotide small nucleolar RNA. The record is from RefSeq and is a predicted model, not a curated record. NCBI's taxonomy places the organism in Eukaryota, Metazoa, Chordata, Mammalia, Monotremata, Tachyglossidae.
UUCCUCUAAGGAUUGCAUCUGGAGAGUUUCCAGUACUCUACCAGUCUCGACUAUGGGAGGGAGAGUCAGGCAGAGGCCUAUCCAUUCCAUUCCUAGCUGGGCAGUGGCUAGCAAGUGGAAGGCAAUAUGCUACAAGU